RNAcentral lists this ribosomal RNA (253 nucleotides) under uncultured bacterium. Its description in RNAcentral is "partial 16S ribosomal RNA". It matches the Rfam family "Bacterial small subunit ribosomal RNA", at positions 524 to 776 of the family's 1533-position model. The record is from RNAcentral.
UACGGAGGGGGUUAGCGUUGUUCGGAAUGACUGGGCGUAAAGCGCGCGUAGGCGGAUCUUUAAGUCAGGGGUGAAAUCCUGGAGCUCAACUCCAGAACUGCCUUUGAUACUGAGGAUCUUGAGUCCGGGAGAGGUGAGUGGAACUCCGAGUGUAGAGGUGAAAUUCGUAGAUAUUCGGAAGAACACCAGUGGCGAAGGCGGCUCACUGGCCCGGUACUGACGCUGAGGUGCGAAAGCGUGGGGAGCAAACAGG